CUGACCUCAAAUCAGGUAGGACU
RNAcentral lists this ribosomal RNA (23 nucleotides) under Phanerochaete laevis. RNAcentral describes it as "partial 28S ribosomal RNA". The record is from RNAcentral. Lineage: Eukaryota; Fungi; Basidiomycota; Agaricomycetes; Polyporales; Phanerochaetaceae. RNAcentral also lists the same sequence under 2 other names.